Non-coding RNA from Biomphalaria pfeifferi, 201 nucleotides. NCBI's taxonomy places the organism in Eukaryota, Metazoa, Mollusca, Gastropoda, Planorbidae. The record is from the annotation of a GenBank genome assembly.
AGACUAUAUAUCUAUGGUUUCCUGUGCCACGUAAAAUAUUCCACCAAAAAUUCUCUAUAUAGCUUGGAUAUAUUGAAGCAGGCCUUCAUAUCUCUACUAUAUGAAUGUACUUAUUAGUGCUAUUUGGAAUUACAUAUCUCUGCUAUAUGGAAGUACAUAUCUCUGUUGUAUAGGCCUAUAUAAGCAAUAAGCCUACAUAGG